CACACGCCCGCGGGUUCGGAAUACUUCGAGGACGGUCUUCGAGGCAAACCAAGUGCGACGGUCGGCCCGCCGGAGAAGAGGACUACACGGAGGAGCUCGCCAUCGCGCACGUGCGGCGGCUGCUCGACAUCGUCGCCUGCACCACCGUGUUCGCGGCGAAGAAGCCCCAGCCGAAGCCCGAUGUGGCGGAUGCCGCGACCGAGUCCGCCAAAGACGGGUCGCCCUCGCCCGGUUCAAAAGGUUGACUAGUCGAAGUGAAGUUGCUAUUUGUUCAAGAGAUUACAAAUUCUAUUCACCCCGGCAUAAGAUCAGGUGUUCCCCACAGGCAGCAUUUGACAUCCCUGAUACAAGUGCUUUGACAGAGGAUGAGAACUCUUUAUUGGUUUGUUCUUCAGGAUUUCGCUCACCAAACGAGACCACUUAGAAUCUGGGUAGGUAUGCAGGUGCGAGUUUGUAACGAGAAACCGGUGACGAUUGUGGCAUCCCAAGAAGGAUUCAACCCUGCAGGAAAGCGAGCACUCAUCAGCAAAAACAAGAUGAGACCAAUGGGAUGACCAUUUUCCCUUGUAUCAGCUUAAGGAUGCUGCUUCAUAAGUCAUGUGCUCAACCACCUGGAGUUCAACGGUUGCAGACUAGUGAUCCUGAAGACAAUGAGGCUACUCAAACUUUUGUCCGGAAGAUAUUAACAGACAGCCUGCAGAAGCUUGAAAAUGAGGCUCCGAUAGUUCACAGAGUCAUCUACUUAAGCUGACAUGGUAUGUCAAUCGUGCCCUAUAUCUUUUGCACCUUACAUGUGGCCCUUCUCAUCGUAACACCGCUGCAACUUAUAUCAAUGUUGUGAUGAUGGAAGAAGGGUUGGGUAGGGAUGGCAAUGGGUACCCGAAACCCGAAACCCGAUGGGUAAAAACCCUAUUAGGGCACGGGUAUGGCGGAUUUUGAUAUCAAUGGGUAUUUUAUUGGGUCAUUUGUUAUGCCCAUCGGGUAUGGUGGGCGUGGGUAUGUUCUCUGUUGCCCCAUACCCGCUACCCGAUGGGGAACCCGCUAAUAUAUGACACGUGGGUCCAGAUUUAUAUGUCUCAUAUAAAAUGAAUGCUAUGUUUUGUCCACAGUUUUGUAGAAUCAACCGCUAUGUUUUGUGUGAUUUGAAGGCAUGAUAUUGCCAUUUAAUGUUGAAUAUUGUUGAACCUG
Molecule: RNA transcript, 1188 nt
Organism: Zea mays
Lineage: Eukaryota; Viridiplantae; Streptophyta; Magnoliopsida; Poales; Poaceae
Exons: 7
Source: RefSeq, marked validated